This 526-nucleotide ribosomal RNA is filed under the name uncultured bacterium. Its description in RNAcentral is "bacterial SSU rRNA". It matches the Rfam family "Bacterial small subunit ribosomal RNA", at positions 770 to 1302 of the family's 1533-position model. The record is from RNAcentral.
AGUCAAUAGAUACAGGUAGUCCACGCCGUAAACGAUGAGUACUAGGUGUAGGAGGUAUCGACUCCUUCUGUGCCGCAGUUAACACAAUAAGUACUCCGCCUGGGAAGUACGGUCGCAAGAUUAAAACUCAAAGGAAUUGACGGGGGCCCGCACAAGCAGCGGAGCAUGUGGUUUAAUUCGAAGCAACGCGAAGAACCUUACCUAGACUUGACAUCUCCUGAAUAGCGCAGAGAUGCGUGAAGCCCUUCGGGGCAGGAAGACAGGUGGUGCAUGGUUGUCGUCAGCUCGUGUCGUGAGAUGUUGGGUUAAAGUCCCGCAACGAGCGCAACCCCUAUUAUUAGUUGCUACCAUUAAGUUGAGCACUCUAAUGAGACUGCCCGGGGUUAACCGGAGGAAGGCGGGGAUGACGUCAAAUCAUCAUGCCCCUUAUGUCUAGGGCUACACACGUGCUACAAUGGUGAGAACAACGAGAUGCAAUACCGCGAGGUGGAGCAAAACUUGAAAACUCAUCUCAGUUCGGAUUGUA